GACGAACGCUGGCGGCGUGCUUAACACGUGCAAGUCGAACGGAAAGGCCCUGCUUUUGUGGGGUGCUCGAGUGGCGAACGGGUGAGUAACACGUGAGUAACCUGCCCUUGACUUUGGGAUAACUUCAGGAAACUGGGGCUAAUACCGGAUAGGAGCUCCUGCUGCAUGGUGGGGGUUGGAAAGUUUCGGCGGUUGGGGAUGGACUCGCGGCUUAUCAGCUUGUUGGUGGGGUAGUGGCUUACCAAGGCUUUGACGGGUAGCCGGUCUGAGAGGGUGACCGGCCACAUUGGGACUGAGAUACGGCCCAGACUCCUACGGGAGGCAGCAGUGGGGAAUAUUGCACAAUGGGCGGAAGCCUGAUGCAGCAACGCCGCGUGCGGGAUGACGGCCUUCGGGUUGUAAACCGCUUUCGCCUGUGACGAAGCGUGAGUGACGGUAAUGGGUAAAGAAGCACCGGCUAACUACGUG
Molecule: ribosomal RNA, 468 nt
Filed under: uncultured bacterium
Lineage: Bacteria
Description: partial 16S ribosomal RNA
Rfam family: Bacterial small subunit ribosomal RNA
Source: RNAcentral